Long non-coding RNA from Gossypium arboreum, 613 nucleotides. RefSeq lists it as uncharacterized. The record is from RefSeq and is a predicted model, not a curated record. The transcript is spliced from 2 exons. Lineage: Eukaryota; Viridiplantae; Streptophyta; Magnoliopsida; Malvales; Malvaceae.
GUGGGGAGGGGAAUAAAACCCCGUCGUUUUGCUUGGCUUAUUUAAGCCAAAUUUGAUUUUUUUUUAUUUAUUUCAGCACCAUCUAAAAAAAAAAAAGAAAAAGAAACAGAGAGUUCUCUUUGCUCUCCCUUCACUCCCCAUGUCUGGCGAUAGGGUUUCCCGGUGUCCAUUGCGCCGCCGUUGUGGGCCAGUGGCCGGCGUUGCACGAAUGGGUUUCUUCCGGCGUCGAGGAGGCCAACGGAGGCGCUGAGGAGGUCAACGGAGGGAGCGGGUGACCUUCUUGCUGUUUUGGUGAAACUACGGCAGAGGGACGUCAGAUCCUCGGGACUAGAAGCCUCGGGACGAGGUGCUGACGUGGCGUUAGUGGCGGCACAUCCACAAUUCUAGGGUUUUUUUAGCUGAUAGUGUUUAAUUUUUGGUGAAUUUUUGGGUUAAUCGGGCCUUGUGGCUUUUGGGCUUGUGUUUGGGUUAAUUUUUUUAUAAAUGGACUGUUUAUUAUUUUUUGGGUUUUUAUUUAAUGGGCCGGGCAAAUUUGGGCCUAUACAGACGGUUAUAGCUUAAAAAUGUUUGUUCAAAUUAACUCAAAAAUAAUUAUUAGACUGUGUUAUGAUAA